This 1640-nucleotide unclassified non-coding RNA is filed under the name Hevea brasiliensis (rubber tree). The record is from RNAcentral. Lineage: Eukaryota; Viridiplantae; Streptophyta; Magnoliopsida; Malpighiales; Euphorbiaceae.
CUCUCUCUCUCUCUCUCUCAUUGUGUAUAUAUAAUAUAGUCCAAUCUUUUUCCUUGCCUGCUUCCUUCACAGCCUGUCAAGCUUGAAUUAUUAAUUAGACCAUGAUUAUAAUUUUUUAGAAACAGGCUUGUUUUGUUGUUUCUCUAAGUAAAAAGAGAGAGAGAGAGAUAAAAGACUAUUCUGGGUUGUCAAAGAAAGAGAUAUUCAUUGCUGAAGUGCUAGUCAUCUAUCUAUCUCUAUCUACAAAUUCACCACAAAUAUUGUACAAUUGCUUGGGUUGCUCCGUCCAUUUUUCUCUAAAAACAUGAGUUAUGGACGCUCAUGAGGAAGUAAUUGGCUUCUUUUUCUUUCAGCUCUGAUUCAUAAUUGGACUGGCUUUUAGCAUGAAUAAGGAGGAAGAUGUUCAAUGAGCCUUUCCGGAGAGAUUCGAGAUCUGAUUACCCUUUUAUGCAGAGAUGGGAACUAAACUUGAACAUGCCUUCAAUCUUCCAGCAUCUUCACCAAAUAGCAAUAGCUCUAGUGUUCAUUGUGUGGAUGAACUGGACUAUUUGCAAACUAGAGGGUUGAAUAUUAGCUUCCAAAUUAUUGGACUGGACAAGAAUCGAAGCUCUGUUAAUGACAGAAUGCCCCAAAAACACAACGUAGAUUUCAUCAAAAAGACAAUGCAGAUGCAUGAAGAUACAUUCAAACAACAGGUAAUUCAUCAAGAUUUUAUUGUAAUUUAAUUCAGGAAUCUAACAAAGAAACUUAGGAACUUGAAGAAGCUGAUGCUGAAACUUGCAGGUGAGGGAGCUCCACAGGCUAUACAGUAUACAGAAGAUGUUAAUGGAUGAGCUGAACAAAGAAAUUAAACAGAAUAAGAAGUACAGGAGUCCCAUGAGUAGUAGUUCAGAUAUUAAUGUUCAAUCUCAAUUCAUUAACCAGCAUAAUCCCACAACACAAACUAGUUAUCUGUAUCGUUUUAACUUUCGAGGCUUGAGCCCAAGGGAAAGAAGCAGUAUUUGCUCAGGUGAGACCAGAAGAAUGACUACAAGGGGAUUUGAUCUUGAGAGGCCUGCUGCAGAAGAAGACAUAUCAACUGCUGUUAGUACUGCCAUUGAUGAUCACAGGGCAGCAGGGGCUAGCUCUUUCAUCCCCUUGAAAGGGAACGAUAAAAUGAGCAUCGAUGGCUCGGACGAAGAAAGUGAAGUGGAGCUAACAUUAAGCAUUGGAGGCAGCAGUACCAGCACCAGCAGCAAGAAGAUGAUCAUGUCCACAAAUAAAGAACUGGGAUUCUCUGACCAAAUAAACAAGCGUACGAAGGAGCUUGAUUCUCCUGCAUCAAUUAAGUCCGAAAAAGGAGAAGAUUGCAGCACCCCAACAACCCCCAUGAGCAGCUAUAGUUCGACGUUUGAUCAUGAAAGAAAACAACCACAUUGGCUUUUCCAAGGUUUAAGCUUGAACAGAACUACUUGAACUUUAAUUUCUGACUUGUAUCAGUGUAAUAUCCUCAUUUUUUUUUUAUAUUUUGAUGACUCAUAGUUGCCAAAUUAAUCUUAUAAAUGGAUCAUCGAGGAGUACAUAGUGUGAAUAGCACAUGUACAAAACUCUGUUCAACUAUUUUUGCUGUCCACUUUGUUCCACUGCCUGUAUCGUUUCUG